RNAcentral lists this long non-coding RNA (571 nucleotides) under Coffea arabica (coffee). RNAcentral describes it as "long non-coding RNA (CARA_LNC004172)". The record is from RNAcentral. Lineage: Eukaryota; Viridiplantae; Streptophyta; Magnoliopsida; Gentianales; Rubiaceae.
CUAUUGAAAUCACAAACAUCUGUCACAACACCUGCACGCUUGCCCAGGCCAACACCCCAAUCAACCCAAUUGCCACCACGUUAUCUGGGUCUGGGUCCAAGAGCAAAUCAACCCAUUUUAGAUUCAAUUCAAGCACUGUUCAUUCCCAUUUAAGUUCUUCCCAUUCUCACUACCAUUAUCACCAUCGAUUCCGUUGCUAUUAGUAUUAUCUUUGAGCCCUUCCUUGCCCCAAUGGAUUGCUAUUGUCUUCCCCAUUAUUACUUUUGUUGUCAUCUAAUGCCCAGACCAAAAUCAAGCAUUUCUUGCGAAGAUUAAAUUGUGGGCUUUGGGAUUUUAGGGGAAAGUAGUUGUAGUAGUUGUGGAAAUUGAAGAGAAAAACAAUAGUAGAAGUAGAGGGCAUAAUACAAGAUGGUUUGGAGGAGAACGUGGAGGAUGGGGUUAGCGCUAUUCAGGGUAAGAAAAAGGUGAGCCCAUCAACUGAUUUCAUCAUCUGGUUAUUCUGCUCUCAGUUCCUCCUCCUCCUCCCAGCCUAUAUCAAUUGGUUAGAUAACAAGAAAACAACACUAAAAUU